UUUUGGGCAAUGGGCGAAAGCCUGACCCAGCAACGCCGCGUGAGGGAUGAAGUAUUUCGGUAUGUAAACCUCGAAAGAAUGGGAAGAAUAAAUGACGGUACCAUUUAUAAGCUCCGGCUAACUACGUGCCAGCAGCCGCGGUAAUACGUAGGGAGCAAGCGUUGUUCGGAUUUACUGGGCGUAAAGGGCGCGUAGGCGGCGCGGUAAGUCACUUGUGAAAUCUCUGAGCUUAACUCAGAACGGCCAAGUGAUACUGCUGUGCUAGAGUGCGGAAGAGGCUACCGCAAUUCUUGGUGUAGCGGUGAAAUGCGUAGAUAUCAAGAGGAACACCUGAGGCGAAGGCGGGUUGCUGGGCCGACACUGACGCUGAUGCGCGAAAGCCAGGGGAGCAAACG
RNAcentral lists this ribosomal RNA (395 nucleotides) under uncultured bacterium. RNAcentral's name for it is "bacterial SSU rRNA". It matches the Rfam family "Bacterial small subunit ribosomal RNA", at positions 362 to 774 of the family's 1533-position model. The record is from RNAcentral.